UGCAAGUCGAGCGAACAGAUAAGGAGCUUGCUCCUUUGACGUUAGCGGCGGACGGGUGAGUAACACGUGGAUAACCUACCUAUAAGACUGGGAUAACUUCGGGAAACCGGAGCUAAUACCGGAUAACAUAUUGAACCGCAUGGUUCAAUAGUGAAAGGCGGCUUUGCUGUCACUUAUAGAUGGAUCCGCGCCGUAUUAGCUAGUUGGUAAGGUAACGGCUUACCAAGGCAACGAUACGUAGCCGACCUGAGAGGGUGAUCGGCCACACUGGAACUGAGACACGGUCCAGACUCCUACGGGAGGCAGCAGUAGGGAAUCUUCCGCAAUGGGCGAAAGCCUGACGGAGCAACGCCGCGUGAGUGAUGAAGGUCUUCGGAUCGUAAAACUCUUGUGUUAUCAGGGAGAAACAAAUGUGUAAGUAACUGUGCACAUCUUGACGGUACCUGAUCAGAAAGCCACGGCUAACUACGUGCCAGCAGCCGCGGUAAUACGUAGGUGGCAAGCGUUAUCCGGAAUUAUUGGGCGUAAAGCGCGCGUANGCGGUUUUUUAAGUCUGAUGUGAAAGCCCACGGCUCAAACGUGGAGGGUCAUUGGAAACUGGAAAACUUGAGUGCAGA
This 617-nucleotide ribosomal RNA is filed under the name Staphylococcus warneri. RNAcentral's name for it is "bacterial SSU rRNA". It matches the Rfam family "Bacterial small subunit ribosomal RNA", at positions 56 to 652 of the family's 1533-position model. Lineage: Bacteria; Bacillati; Bacillota; Bacilli; Caryophanales; Staphylococcaceae. The record is from RNAcentral.